This 5252-nucleotide long non-coding RNA is filed under the name Marmota monax (woodchuck). The record is from RNAcentral. Lineage: Eukaryota; Metazoa; Chordata; Mammalia; Rodentia; Sciuridae.
GGAAAAGGAGCCAUCAGCCCACCUCCCUUCUUGGAGCCCAACAUGCUAAGGUCAGACUGGGCUCCACUUCCCUCUCUAUCACCCACUCCCAAGUCAAUUUUUCAAUAUGACCUAUGCUUUGAGUCUUCCUGCCUCAGUCCUGAUAAAAGAGAAACUACAAGGGGCUGGGGAUAUUUCUCAGUUGUUAGAGUGUUUGCCUCACAUGCACAAGGCCCUGGAUUCAAUCCCCUGCACCGUGCCCACCCCCCCACACACACACAAGAGAAACUGCAACAGAGCAGGGGGCUUGCUUCCAGAAAACUAGUUGUUAACUAUUUACUAGCACACAACUGCCCCUAUUCUGUUUCUGCCAUCAACAAACUCUGUGAUUCAGGGAAGUCACUCAGUCCUUCUGAGCUUCAGUUUUCUAUCAGAUGGAAAUCUCAUAAUAUCUACCUAAUUGGAUUGCUGGGAGGAUUAAAUAUGAUUAUAAUCCUGUAACAUAAUUAGCAUAAUGUUUGGUUAUUAGUAAAUAAUUAAUAUACUUUAGUAUGGUUCUAGUCAUCUAUUGCUGCAUAACCAACCAACCUCAAAUUUUAGGAGCUUAACACACAUUUGAUUUGCUCAUGAAUCUAUAAUUUGGUCAUAACGUGGUGAAGAUAACUCAUAACCAGAGAGAUACAAAAGCUGGAGUUUGGAACCAUGUUAAUUCAUGCCUCUGGCAAUUGAUGCUGGCUCUCAGCUGGGAAUGCCAAGCAUAUACCUAUACAGGCUUCUCUGGGUAGCCCCAGCCUCCUUUCAAUAUGGUGUCUGGUUUUCCUGGUUUUCCAGAAAAAAGCUAGACGUUAGGUGUCUCACCAUUUGUAAUUUAGCCUUGGAAAACACACAGUAUCACUUUCUAUUUCUUAAAAACAAGAUUCUAAAUCUAGAGAGGAGAAUUAGAUUCCUCCUUUUGAUAAGAAGAGCAGGAAAGAAUUUGUGGACUUGUUUCUAAACCAUCACAGCUAUUAUUAGUAUCGUUGCUUUCAGUACACUCUAGCUUCUGUAAGUGAAUUAUCCCACUUCUUACUUCUGGGCUCCCUGUGGGAGGGUAGGGUCCAUUGGAUUUGUUAAGGUCCUUCCCCCUUAUCACUCUCCAAGUGAACCCAGAGCCCUUCCAACUGCAGAACUCAGUGAAUGUUAUAGAAGUGAAUUCUCUUCUUGCAGGAGCUGGCCCUGAAAAUUUAUGUUCCAAUUUCCUUGGAUGACAUCCCAGUUGGCCACAUAAAAACUGAGGUGAGAGACCUGGGCAGGACACAGUCCAGGAGGGCAGGAGACUUUACCAGCAGAGCUAUGACUCCAACAGGCCCUACUCAUCUUGGAGUGGUGGUGAUUGUGAUAGCAAGUUUAUGGCUUAAAGAAACUCUCUCCAAAGGCUGCUUUGAAGUUGGAAUGUCGUGAUCACUGUCUGGGAGUCAGAUCAGGGGUUCAGUAUAUAACUUCUUUCUUUGGUCUUAUUUCCUGUCAAAUUGAGAUAAGAAAAGCUUCAUGGAUUGUUCAUUUGGAACAGAUCACCCUAAUCUCUAGAAAGCCAGGUUGGAAGCCAAUUUCUUCUGGAUUGUGACUGAUGGGGGUCACAGUCUCUCUAAUAGGAAAAAAGAAUAGAAAAAUCCAAAGUGGAGCCAGGCACAGUGGCACACGCCUGUAACCCCUGCGGCUCGGGAAGGAGGCUGAGACAGAAGGAUCACAAGUUCAAAGCCAACCUCAGAAAGGGCGAGGCACUAAGCAACUCAGUGAGACCCUGUCUCUAAGUAAAAUAAGUACCCUUGAGUUUAAUCCCUGGUACAAAAAAAAAAAAAAAAAGGGCAAAGUGGAGAGAAAUGCCUUGCCUACUAUGGGACAUGAAUCUAUCUCACACUUUGAGAUCCAUAGAGCUGGGAUCUAACUCCAGGGAGAAGUGUGUGUGUGUGUGUGUGUGUGUGUGUGGUGUGUAUGGGAUGUUUGGGUAGGGACUUAGGGACUUCUUGGGGAAAAACCCAGGAAGGAAUGCCCCAGAAAACUCUUCAGUAGGAGGAGUUGGGAAGAGUUGGAGAGGUUCAGGGGAGUAAGGUAUAGAGCGUCAGGCCCAGCCCUUCAACUGGCCGGAGGCUCCUUUCAGCCUUAGCUGUCUCUCUCUGUUUCCCCUCCUGCCCAGCUUACGCCAACAGGUUCUUGUCCUUGCUCAGUGAUCUCCCUAGUAAGUCUAAGAUGGGUUGAGGCCCUGUGUGCCUGCCUGGGUGGAGAAAUUAGGGUCAGUCCUUCCUUCCAAGGCAGGACUUUCCAAGGGCAUCAGGACUUUGGCCUGUGCUAGUUCAUCACAGGGAAUGUCAAGGCCCUCUGGGCCUGUCUCCAACUAUGGAGUAACCCUAGGCACACUGGGGCCUCCACUCUGAGCCACGGUCUGCUCACUUGUGCAUAGCACAGUUGUCUUGAACAGUUUUUCCCAAAGUGUGGCUCAUGAAUCCUAUGGUCAGUAGGGAUAUUUAGGAGAAAAAAAAAUGGGCUUGAGCUCAUUUCCCCAGAAGCAGACCCCGAGAUAAAGCUUUGAGUGAAAGUGUUUCACUUGGGAGGGUGGUCCAGGAAGCACUCGUGGAAAGAGAGGAAGGUAGAUGGAGAAGGACACUAACAUAGGGUGUGCCGAGUAGAUUACUAUGGUGAGCAACUGUGACUCAUCCCCCUGGUACCUCUGGGAUACUAUCUUACCUAUGGCAAGUUAAGGGCCUGUAUUCAGGGCACUGUCAGCCUGUUCUGUGCGCCUGCAGCCAGAAACCUCCAAGGGUGAGAGUCAUCUGUGCUUGCAGUGAGAAGUCCUCAGCACGUGUGAGAAUUGUGAGGACUAAGGGGAUAUGAUCGAGGCACAGGCAGGAGUUGCUACAGGGACAAGGAUUUUGUUCACUACUCUUCAUACGUGAGAGAUCAGUGAUAGUUUCCAUAGAAAUACUGUUACCUUUAUGGUAAUUAUCAUGGUCUUCAAAGUGCACCUGGGCCACCAAAACUGAGUUGUCCGGUUCAGCUUAGCUUAUAUCUAGUAAAGAGAACACCACUAGUUGUAGACCAACUGGCUAAAAUAUUCCCACACCAGUUUCAUAUUAUUGCCUAUGUUUGUUUUGUUUUCAUUGUAUUAGUAGUAUUACAUGGUGGUAUGACUCCAAGCCCUAAAGAUGGAUCAUCAAUGCAUAAAAAUAGCAUUGAAAAAUAGUUAUACGGCUGGGGAUAUUGCUCAGUUGGUAGACUGCUUGCCUCACAUAUACAAGGCACUGGGUUCAAACCCUAGCACCACACAAAAAAAAAUUAGUUAUAAAUAUUGUAAAAUAAAAUGUGAUUAGAUAUACUAGAGCCAAUGAGUAUGAAGGAGCUGAGUUAAACAAACAAAAAAGAAAAGAGAAGCGUGAAUCAGAAAGAAAGUUAUGUGACUCAAUAUCCAGAAAUGGGAUUUUUAAAAAAUAGUUAUUUUUUAGUUGUAUUUUUUUUUUUUAAUGUCGUGCUGAGGAUUGAACCCAGGGCCUCGCCUGUGCUAGGCAAGCACUCUACCGCUGAGAAAUGGGAUUUUGUUAGUUGAUCUGCAUUUCUUGCAGUCCCUGAGGCAUUGUCUAUUUGCACUAUCUUUGCAUCAGGCCCUGUAAGCUAUUAGAAAUUUGUUUUUCUAGCAUAGGAGUAAAAGAGGCUCCAGCAUGAUAGUCAUGCAUUUUCUCAACAAAGAAAGAAAAGAUAAAACCCCUAGAGGGAUCAUUAAAGUUGUCCAACUUACAGUGAGGACCAACACAAUUGCAAAUCCAAAUGGAGUCAGAGGCUACUAAGGAAUAUUUUGAUCAGAAAAAAAAGCACAGCAUGCUCUUGGCAAAAUUACUUGAUCAAACCCCACUUUCAGAUGACGCAUAAAAUCAAUGACACACAAUGUGAAAGAGCGAUUGUUGUCCCCAGCAAGUACUAGCAGACAAUUGGCUUUAUUGUUGAAUAAAACCACUUGUGGCAAGUCUUGUUCGUUGUCCAUCCAGAAUUCAUUCCUUUCCUUCUUUCUUAAUAAUAGAUCCUUGAUUUUGGUCCAUGCACCAAAGUCUCCAGCUCAGGCAAUCAAUUAUAAGUGAUCCAAAUCAAUCAUGACCAAUCCACUUCCCACUUCCCCAGUCCGUUCCCUUCGUGCUACCGGAGACCACGAGACCCAGUUCUGGCCAAUUAAAUGUGAUGGGACAGUUGGGUGCUGUGGUGCACACUUGUAAUCCCAGCUAGCCAGGAGGCUGAAGCAGGAGGAUUUCAAGUUGACAAAGUCAGACUCUGCACUUUAGUGAGAUUCUGUAUCAAAAUAAAAAAUAAAAAGGGCUGGGGAUGUAGCUCAGUGGUAGAGUGAUCCUGGAUUCAAUACUUAGUACUGCCAAAAAACAAACAAACAAACAAACCACUGAUGGAAUAUCUGCUGAGGAUCCUUCUCUGAGAACUUCUGUUUUCUCAACAAAUUAGUUGUACACGCCAGCCCUCCUCUUCCCCUGUCUUCCUAACUUGAACACAGUCAUGGUGCCUGGUGCUGGACAGCCAUCUUGUAAAUAUGACAUAACCAGAACAAAGCAAAGUAAAGGUUGAGAGAAUUAUUGAGCCACUGAAUGCAUGUGAGUGUUUGCCUGCUUGUUCACAGCCCAGAAGUCAAUCUAUCCUUCUGCUGAAAGCCAUUGUAAAUCAAGGUUUCUACUACUAGUAGUUGAGAGCAUCUCUGAUGGGCGUACCACUGGCAUGUGGAAUAUAUGUUAGCUGUCUACAUCUUUUCAAAAGGCAUGAGAGAAAUGUGCUUGAUGACUUUUUGUUCUGUUUAUUCCUGAAUUCCUUUGCAAGAUUAGAGAUGAGCUCUCGGGUCCAGCCGGCUUCAGCCAUGAGGAACCCCAGCAGGAAAUGGAGAAGGAAGAGAGUGAGAUGAGGCACCUGAUCGCCUGGUGACCUGCCUGUGAGUCCCCAUGGGUUGUGUGCAUGCUUCAAGAGGCCAUUGUUCCUCCAAAGGCAGCCCCUUCUACCAGUUUUCUCCCUUCUGAUCAUGUCCCCAGUUCUCUCCCCUCUUGCUUCAGAUCAAAUGGUAGAAACAACUCUGCUGCUGCUCACACAGGUUGCAUACUGUCCCGUGGGGUGCUCCUACAUCCACAUGUGUGUAAAUAAGCCUUCCCCAAAUAAACCAGUUUUGAGUGCAUCAUUAUCUUUUUGUAUGCUGACCCAUCAAGCAGCAUCAAUUCACAGAUUCAAAACAAAACAAAACUUGCAUCUGUGCAUCAAACCAC